This 253-nucleotide ribosomal RNA is filed under the name uncultured bacterium. RNAcentral describes it as "partial 16S ribosomal RNA". It matches the Rfam family "Bacterial small subunit ribosomal RNA", at positions 524 to 776 of the family's 1533-position model. The record is from RNAcentral.
UACGAAGGGUGCAAGCGUUACUCGGAAUUACUGGGCGUAAAGCGUGCGUAGGUGGUUCGUUAAGUCUGUCGUGAAAGCCCCGGGCUCAACCUGGGAAUGGCGAUGGAUACUGGCGGGCUAGAGUGCGGUAGAGAAGAGUGGAAUUCCCGGUGUAGCAGUGAAAUGCGUAGAGAUCGGGAGGAACAUCAGUUGCGAAGGCGGCUCUCUGGACCAGCACUGACACUGAGGCACGAAAGCGUGGGGAGCAAACAGG